GACGAACGCUGGCGGCGUGCUUAACACAUGCAAGUCGAACGGAAAGGCCCUGCUUUUGUGGGGUGCUCGAGUGGCGAACGGGUGAGUAACACGUGAGUAACCUGCCCUUGACUUUGGGAUAACUUCAGGAAACUGGGGCUAAUACCGGAUAGGAGCUCCUGCUGCAUGGUGGGGAUUGGAAAGUUUCGGCGGUUGGGGAUGGACUCGCGGCUUAUCAGCUUGUUGGUGGGGUAGUGGCUUACCAAGGCUUUGACGGGUAGCCGGCCUGAGAGGGUGACCGGCCACAUUGGGACUGAGAUACGGCCCAGACUCCUACGGGAGGCAGCAGUGGGGAAUAUUGCACAAUGGGCGGAAGCCUGAUGCAGCAACGCCGCGUGCGGGAUGACGGCCUUCGGGUUGUAAACCGCUUUCGCCUGUGACGAAGCGUGAGUGACGGUAAUGGGUAAAGAAGCACCGGCUAACUACGUGCCAGCAGCCGCGGUGAUACGUAGGGUGCGAGCGUUGUCCGGAUUUAUUGGGCGUAAAGGGCUCGUAGGUGGUUGAUCGCGUCGGAAGUGUAAUCUUGGGGCUUAACCCUGAGCGUGCUUUCGAUACGGGUUGACUUGAGGAAGGUAGGGGAGAAUGGAAUUCCUGGCGGAGCGGUGGAAUGCGCAGAUAUCAGGAGGAACACCAGUGGCGAAGGCGGUUCUCUGGGCCUUUCCUGACGCUGAGGAGCGAAAGCGUGGGGAGCGAACAGGCUUAGAUACCCUGGUAGUCCACGCUGUAAACGGUGGGUACUAGGUGUGGGGUCCAUUCCACGGGUUCCGUGCCGUAGCUAACGCUUUAAGUACCCCGCCUGGGGAGUACGGCCGCAAGGCUAAAACUCAAAGGAAUUGACGGGGCCCCGCACAAGCGGCGGAGCAUGCGGAUUAAUUCGAUGCAACGCGUAGAACCUUACCUGGGUUUGACAUGGAUCGGGAGUGCUCAGAGAUGGGUGUGCCUCUUUUGGGGUCGGUUCACAGGUGGUGCAUGGCUGUCGUCAGCUCGUGUCGUGAGAUGUUGGGUUAAGUCCCGCAACGAGCGCAACCCUUGUUCACUGUUGCCAGCACGUUAUGGUGGGGACUCAGUGGAGACCGCCGGGGUCAACUCGGAGGAAGGUGGGGAUGACGUCAAGUCAUCAUGCCCCUUAUGUCCAGGGCUUCACGCAUGCUACAAUGGCUGGUACAGAGAGUGGCGAGCCUGUGAGGGUGAGCGAAUCUCGGAAAGCCGGUCUCAGUUCGGAUUGGGGUCUGCAACUCGACCUCAUGAAGUCGGAGUCGCUAGUAAUCGCAGAUCAGCAACGCUGCGGUGAAUACGUUCCCGGGGCU
This 1346-nucleotide ribosomal RNA is filed under the name uncultured bacterium. RNAcentral's name for it is "partial 16S ribosomal RNA". It matches the Rfam family "Bacterial small subunit ribosomal RNA", at positions 28 to 1381 of the family's 1533-position model. The record is from RNAcentral.